UUAAGCGACUAAGCGUACACGGUGGAUGCCCUGGCAGUCAGAGGCGAUGAAGGACGUGCUAAUCUGCGAUAAGCGUCGGUAAGGUGAUAUGAACCGUUAUAACCGGCGAUUUCCGAAUGGGGAAACCCAGUGUGUUUCGACACACUAUCAUUAACUGAAUCCAUAGGUUAAUGAGGCGAACCGGGGGAACUGAAACAUCUAAGUACCCCGAGGAAAAGAAAUCAACCGAGAUUCCCCCAGUAGCGGCGAGCGAACGGGGAGCAGCCCAGAGCCUGAAUCAGUGUGUGUGUUAGUGGAAGCGUCUGGAAAGGCGCGCGAUACAGGGUGACAGCCCCGUACACAAAAAUGCACAUGCUGUGAGCUCGAUGAGUAGGGCGGGACACGUGGUAUCCUGUCUGAAUAUGGGGGGACCAUCCUCCAAGGCUAAAUACUCCUGACUGACCGAUAGUGAACCAGUACCGUGAGGGAAAGGCGAAAAGAACCCCGGCGAGGGGAGUGAAAAAGAACCUGAAACCGUGUACGUACAAGCAGUGGGAGCACGCUUAGGCGUGUGACUGCGUACCUUUUGUAUAAUGGGUCAGCGACUUAUAUUCUGUAGCAAGGUUAACCGAAUAGGGGAGCCGAAGGGAAACCGAGUCUUAACUGGGCGUUAAGUUGCAGGGUAUAGACCCGAAACCCGGUGAUCUAGCCAUGGGCAGGUUGAAGGUUGGGUAACACUAACUGGAGGACCGAACCGACUAAUGUUGAAAAAUUAGCGGAUGACUUGUGGCUGGGGGUGAAAGGCCAAUCAAACCGGGAGAUAGCUGGUUCUCCCCGAAAGCUAUUUAGGUAGCGCCUCGUGAAUUCAUCUCCGGGGGUAGAGCACUGUUUCGGCAAGGGGGUCAUCCCGACUUACCAACCCGAUGCAAACUGCGAAUACCGGAGAAUGUUAUCACGGGAGACACACGGCGGGUGCUAACGUCCGUCGUGAAGAGGGAAACAACCCAGACCGCCAGCUAAGGUCCCAAAGUCAUGGUUAAGUGGGAAACGAUGUGGGAAGGCCCAGACAGCCAGGAUGUUGGCUUAGAAGCAGCCAUCAUUUAAAGAAAGCGUAAUAGCUCACUGGUCGAGUCGGCCUGCGCGGAAGAUGUAACGGGGCUAAACCAUGCACCGAAGCUGCGGCAGCGACGCUUAUGCGUUGUUGGGUAGGGGAGCGUUCUGUAAGCCUGUGAAGGUGUGCUGUGAGGCAUGCUGGAGGUAUCAGAAGUGCGAAUGCUGACAUAAGUAACGAUAAAGCGGGUGAAAAGCCCGCUCGCCGGAAGACCAAGGGUUCCUGUCCAACGUUAAUCGGGGCAGGGUGAGUCGACCCCUAAGGCGAGGCCGAAAGGCGUAGUCGAUGGGAAACAGGUUAAUAUUCCUGUACUUGGUGUUACUGCGAAGGGGGGACGGAGAAGGCUAUGUUGGCCGGGCGACGGUUGUCCCGGUUUAAGCGUGUAGGCUGGUUUUCCAGGCAAAUCCGGAAAAUCAAGGCUGAGGCGUGAUGACGAGGCACUACGGUGCUGAAGCAACAAAUGCCCUGCUUCCAGGAAAAGCCUCUAAGCAUCAGGUAACAUCAAAUCGUACCCCAAACCGACACAGGUGGUCAGGUAGAGAAUACCAAGGCGCUUGAGAGAACUCGGGUGAAGGAACUAGGCAAAAUGGUGCCGUAACUUCGGGAGAAGGCACGCUGAUAUGUAGGUGAAGUCCCUUGCGGAUGGAGCUGAAAUCAGUCGAAGAUACCAGCUGGCUGCAACUGUUUAUUAAAAACACAGCACUGUGCAAACACGAAAGUGGACGUAUACGGUGUGACGCCUGCCCGGUGCCGGAAGGUUAAUUGAUGGGGUUAGCGGUAACGCGAAGCUCUUGAUCGAAGCCCCGGUAAACGGCGGCCGUAACUAUAACGGUCCUAAGGUAGCGAAAUUCCUUGUCGGGUAAGUUCCGACCUGCACGAAUGGCGUAAUGAUGGCCAGGCUGUCUCCACCCGAGACUCAGUGAAAUUGAACUCGCUGUGAAGAUGCAGUGUACCCGCGGCAAGACGGAAAGACCCCGUGAACCUUUACUAUAGCUUGACACUGAACAUUGAGCCUUGAUGUGUAGGAUAGGUGGGAGGCUUUGAAGUGUGGACGCCAGUCUGCAUGGAGCCGACCUUGAAAUACCACCCUUUAAUGUUUGAUGUUCUAACGUUGACCCGUGAUCCGGGUUGCGGACAGUGUCUGGUGGGUAGUUUGACUGGGGCGGUCUCCUCCUAAAGAGUAACGGAGGAGCACGAAGGUUGGCUAAUCCUGGUCGGACAUCAGGAGGUUAGUGCAAUGGCAUAAGCCAGCUUGACUGCGAGCGUGACGGCGCGAGCAGGUGCGAAAGCAGGUCAUAGUGAUCCGGUGGUUCUGAAUGGAAGGGCCAUCGCUCAACGGAUAAAAGGUACUCCGGGGAUAACAGGCUGAUACCGCCCAAGAGUUCAUAUCGACGGCGGUGUUUGGCACCUCGAUGUCGGCUCAUCACAUCCUGGGGCUGAAGUAGGUCCCAAGGGUAUGGCUGUUCGCCAUUUAAAGUGGUACGCGAGCUGGGUUUAGAACGUCGUGAGACAGUUCGGUCCCUAUCUGCCGUGGGCGCUGGAGAAUUGAGGGGGGCUGCUCCUAGUACGAGAGGACCGGAGUGGACGCAUCACUGGUGUUCGGGUUGUCAUGCCAAUGGCACUGCCCGGUAGCUAAAUGCGGAAGAGAUAAGUGCUGAAAGCAUCUAAGCACGAAACUUGCCCCGAGAUGAGUUCUCCCUGACUCCUUGAGAGUCCUGAAGGAACGUUGAAGACGACGACGUUGAUAGGCCGGGUGUGUAAGCGCAGCGAUGCGUUGAGCUAACCGGUACUAAUGAACCGUGAGGCUUAACCUU
This 2904-nucleotide ribosomal RNA is filed under the name Escherichia coli 3-373-03_S1_C1. RNAcentral describes it as "bacterial LSU rRNA". It matches the Rfam family "Bacterial large subunit ribosomal RNA". The record is from RNAcentral. Lineage: Bacteria; Pseudomonadati; Pseudomonadota; Gammaproteobacteria; Enterobacterales; Enterobacteriaceae.